GAGGGCUGGAAGGUGCAACGAAUUCAUCAAGGUCAAUUCCGUCGGCGAUCCGAGUGGCAGCUGCAAGGAAAGUUUCCAUAAAGGACCUGAAGUCGUGCUUCUUGGUAUUGGCCACCCGAAGGGCCGCCAGCUUCUCCUCUCGCGCAUCUUUGCAGUGGACUCGGGCCAGACACAAAGCGACAUCUGCACCACACCGAGCCGAGGACUUCUUCCACUCCUGCACUCGACCAGGGAUCGUGUUCAAGCGGGCCAUCAGCGACUCAAGGUCAUUCUGAAGUGUCUCCUCAGGCCAGAGCGUCGAGUCGAUGCGCGAUGUGGCAGCCUUCAGCUUUGCGAGAUAGUCCACGACAGCUGCAACACGGGACUCCAGUCGGAAAACUUCCAUGGCAACUUCGUCGUUCACCGGAGAAUUGACGGGGUCGAGGUUUGGCUCCAGCCGGCUAGUUUCUUCUUCAAAGUUUUGACAAAAUUCUGCAAGGAUGAUCACUAAGUCAAGGGGAUGGUCGAAUGGAAAAACCACAAUUGGAAAUGUCUGCCAAGCAUAGAGGUUUACCUUCAAGCAUAAGAAACAGCUUCUUGGCAAGUCCACUCAGGAAGGCCUCCAGAUCAGUUUUCUUCCCAGUCAAUUUGCUGACUUGGUCGGUCAGGGCAGCUUUAUAAGUUUUCAGUCGACUGACCUCCUUGUUGGCAAUCCCAAGAGCAGCUUUCAGAUUGGCAUUGUCUUGUUCAAGCUUGGUGACUGAAGCUAACUUCUCGUCGGCAAGCUUGAUCUUCUCAGCUAGCUCAAGGUCUUUCUUCUGCUGGGCCUCCC
RNAcentral lists this ribosomal RNA (811 nucleotides) under Triticum aestivum (bread wheat). Its description in RNAcentral is "partial small subunit ribosomal RNA". The record is from RNAcentral. Lineage: Eukaryota; Viridiplantae; Streptophyta; Magnoliopsida; Poales; Poaceae.